UACGGGAGGCAGCAGGUGGGGAAUAUUGCACAAUGGGCGAAAGCCUGAUGCAGCUAUGCCGCGUGUAUGAAGAAGGCCUUAGGGUUGUAAAGUACUUUCAUCGGGGAGGAAAAACAAAACUAAUAAUUUUAUUUCUUGACGUUACCCGAAAAAGAAGCACCGGCUAACUCCGUGCCAGCAGCCGCGGUAAUACGGAGGGUGCUAGCGUUAAUCAGAAUUACUGGGCGUAAAGAGCACGUAGGUGGUUUUUUAAGUCAGAUGUGAAAUCCCUGGGCUUAACCUAGGAACUGCAUUUUGAAACUGAAAUACUAGAGUAUCGUAGAGGGAGGUAGAAUUCUAGGUGUAGCGGUGAAAUGCGUAGAUAUCUGGAGGAAUACCUGUGGCGAAAGCGGCCUCCUAAACGAAUACUGACACUGAGGUGCGAAAGCGUGGGGAGCAAACAGGGAUUAGAUACC
Molecule: ribosomal RNA, 455 nt
Filed under: uncultured bacterium
Lineage: Bacteria
Description: bacterial SSU rRNA
Rfam family: Bacterial small subunit ribosomal RNA
Source: RNAcentral